Molecule: ribosomal RNA, 1433 nt
Filed under: metagenome
Description: bacterial LSU rRNA
Rfam family: Bacterial large subunit ribosomal RNA
Source: RNAcentral
UGUAAGGAAAGCGGAAGCCGGGAAUGGAAAGCCCGGUGCAAGCGGGGUACCAGUCACUUUGGCAAAUCCGGGUGGCAAUGGGAAGCCGUGAUGCGGAGUGAAAUAAAGUAGCGAAGUCCGUGAGCCAUGCGUCAAGAAAGGCCGCUAUCGUUUAUACCGUACCCGUACCGUAAACCGACACAGGUGGAUGAGGAGAGAAUCCUAAGGCCGGCGGAAGAAGCAUUGUCAAGGAACUCGGCAAAAUGGCCCCGUAACUUAGGGAUAAGGGGUGCCUGGGAAACCAGGCCGCAGAGAAUAGGCUCAAGCAACUGUUUAGCAAAAACACAGGUCUAUGCGAAACCGAAAGGUGAGGUAUAUGGGCUGACGCCUGCCCGGUGCUGGAAGGUUAAGAGGAGAGGUUAGCGGUAACGCGAAGCUUUGAAUUUAAGCCCCAGUAAACGGCGGCCGUAACAAUAACGGUCCUAAGGUAGCGAAAUUCCUUGUCGGGUAAGUUCCGACCCGCACGAAAGGCGUAAUGAUUUGAGCGCUGUCUCGACAAUGCAUCCGGUGAAAUUGAAGUACCAGUGAAGAUGCUGGUUACCUGCGCCAGGACGGAAAGACCCCAUGGAGCUUUACUCCAGUCUGGUACUGGGACUCGGUAUUGCAUGUACAGGAUAGGUGGGAGGCUGGGAGAUGGUAACGCCAGUUGCCAUGGAGCCGCUGUUGGGAUACCACCCUUGCAGUAUUGGGUUUCUAACCAGCCGCCGUGACCCGGCGGUGGGACAAUGCCAGACGGGGAGUUUGACUGGGGCGGUCGCCUCCGAAAGGGUAUCGGAGGCGCCCAAAGGUUCCCUCAGAAUGGACGGAAACCAUUCGAAGAGUGCAAAGGCAGAAGGGAGCUUGACUGCGACACCGACGGGUGGAGCAGGUACGAAAGUAGGGCUUAGUGAUCCGGUGGUAUUAAGUGGGAAUGCCAUCGCUCAACGGAUAAAAGCUACCCUGGGAUAACAGGCUUAUCACUCCCAAGAGUUCACAUCGACGGAGUGGUUUGGCACCUCGAUGUCGGCUCAUCGCAUCCUGGGGCUGUAGUAGGUCCCAAGGGUUGGGCUGUUCGCCCAUUAAAGCGGUACGCGAGCUGGGUUCAGAACGUCGUGAGACAGUUCGGUCCCUAUCCGGCGUGGGCGUAGGAUAUCUGAGAGGAGCUGUCCUUAGUACGAGAGGACCGGGAUGGACGGGCCGCUGGUGCAUCGGUUAGACUGCCAAGUCUACGGCCGAGUAGCCAAGCCCGGAAGGGAUAAACGCUGAAGGCAUCUAAGCGUGAAGCCCCCCUUAAGAUGAGAUAUCCCAUUCGUUAAGAAGUAAACCCCCUUGAAGACGACGAGGUAGAUAGGGCAGAGGUGGAAGUGUAGCAAUGCAUGGAGCUGACUAUUACUAAUCGGGUGAGGGCUUGACCG